Molecule: long non-coding RNA, 774 nt
Organism: Lycium barbarum (goji berry)
Lineage: Eukaryota; Viridiplantae; Streptophyta; Magnoliopsida; Solanales; Solanaceae
Exons: 3
Source: RefSeq, a predicted model, not a curated record
GUACCUUUGGAAAGCUUCACAUAGAAAUUGUGAAUAUGAGUUCCUCUUUUCAUGGAACUGAAUCGGAACUGAAGCAGUUCCAUUCUUGGAAAAUAUACAUAGGCAAUAAAGUGUAUUGUUAAUGAUUUCACCUUCCAGUAGGGAUCGUGAAGCGCUAAAUAGCGACAUAAAAUUUAUGUCAACGUUGGUAACGUGAUUGUAACAUUGGCUUCCUCCAGAUGAUAGCAAAUUUGGAAUUUCUUCAAGGCGAAGUAAUGUGGAAGAAGAGUAUAUCUUGGCAUAUAAGGCUAAAAGAGCGACGAGACGAACGAGUUACGAAUAGCCGCUAACAGGUACAGACGCACGGUUUGGUGAUCCACCAGUUUAGGACACCCUCUUCUGCUGUUUGGAGUGCUCCUCUUAUUCCGGAGCCUACAUUUUGGUAUAUAUACUUGUUUGAUGCAUAUGUAUAUAUUUGUUCAGGGGUACGGCGGGGCCCUGUUCUGCCAUAUGAUCCGUUUGGUCUGUUUAGAGGUCUGUAGACGUAUUUGUGGGUGUGUGUGCCUACUUCUGUUCAGAUGUGUUUGUAUGAUCCUAUUCGCUAUGGCAGCCUUGUCGGCGUGCAUUUGUAUAUGUUUUGGGCCGUUGUGCCAUUUGAUAGCCUUGUCGGCUUUUGAUACAUUUGAUAGCUUUGUCGGCUUUUGAUACAUUUGAUAGCCUUGUCGACUUUUGAUACAUUCGAUAGUCUUGCCGGCUUUUUGAUAUAUGUAUAUGCAUAUGGUUGUGUUUGAAAUA